Molecule: non-coding RNA, 23 nt
Filed under: Arabidopsis thaliana (thale cress)
Lineage: Eukaryota; Viridiplantae; Streptophyta; Magnoliopsida; Brassicales; Brassicaceae
Source: RNAcentral
GUGUGGAUACAAGAGCUGGGCUA